This 253-nucleotide ribosomal RNA is filed under the name uncultured bacterium. RNAcentral's name for it is "partial 16S ribosomal RNA". It matches the Rfam family "Bacterial small subunit ribosomal RNA", at positions 524 to 776 of the family's 1533-position model. The record is from RNAcentral.
UACGUAGGGUGCGAGCGUUACUCGGAAUUACUGGGCGUAAAGCGCGCGUAGGCGGACCUGCAAGUCGGGGGUGAAAGCCCGAGGCUCAACCUCGGAACUGCCUUCGAUACUGCGGGUCUCGAGUCCGGGAGAGGUGAGUGGAAUUCCUAGUGUAGAGGUGAAAUUCGUAGAUAUUAGGAAGAACACCAGUGGCGAAGGCGGCUCACUGGCCCGGUACUGACGCUGAGGCGCGAAAGCGUGGGGAGCGAACAGG